Non-coding RNA from Cricetulus griseus (Chinese hamster), 2762 nucleotides. The record is from RefSeq and is a predicted model, not a curated record. NCBI's taxonomy places the organism in Eukaryota, Metazoa, Chordata, Mammalia, Rodentia, Cricetidae.
GGGGUGGUGGCGGCGGCCUCGGGUUGGUGGCGGACCGCGUUCACUCCCUUGCACGGCGGCCCCGGGAUCCGGCCCUAACGACCUGGCAAGGCAGCUCAUCUCGCAGUGAGGUCCCGAGGGACCGAGCCUUUCCACUUGGCUUUUUCGCUUUGGCCGUCUAAUAAGUGAAUGCCGUGAGUGGGCAAAUAAAACGAGGACAGAACGCUGCCAUCCCCUGUGCGUGCCCUCUGGCUCGACGCUGGCCUGAAGCAGUUCUUGAGGCAGCGGAGUCCUGCUGCACAGAGAGGUGAGGCCAGCUACCAUCCUGAUGGAAGAAGAUUCUCUGUGUAGCCUGGGUUGAACUGCAUUUCUUCACCAGAUUUAAGAAUAUCUGCUCUGUGACAUGCUGCCUGGCCUCGGAGGGCUAUUUUGUGUUAGCCUUUCUGUCCAGGAGGAAGAGGGAGGACUUACAGGCAGGUGUGUGUCCUGCAGAAUUGGGGAACAACCGUAAAAUAGUUUUUGAGGGUCAAAAUUGUCCUUGAGGAUUCCGUUACUGAGAAAUAACAUGUCUGUAUCUAAUGAAGAAUUCAGCCAAGAAAACUCUGGGAUACAAAUACCCAGGCAGGCCAUGUGUCUAAAGGAGCAGAAACUGGUUCUGGAAAUGGAAAUUGUUGAAUUUCUUUCUGAAAGCCUUGUAUGUGUCCAUUACUUAUUUGAAUCACAAUCAAUCCUUUUAAAAACAAAUAGGUUCCUGAAGAAUAUUUUAAUUCCAUGAUUUUUAUUUUCUUAAAAGAGAAACGUUAAUGGACCAAUGAAGAGCAGUUGCCUUGGGCAGUUGCAUUUUUCACUGUGAAUUAUACACUGACAUUUUGGUUUUUAUAUUCCUCCUAAUGAACAUUUCAGUCUUGUAACAUCAUCUCUUUUGGUCCUGGAACACAAAAGCCAGACCCCAUGUAGAGGAAAUUCAAGGCAGGUAGUGGGGGAACCACCCCAGUGUGGGUGAACAGAUUAAGAUACUUGGGACUAGGAUAAUAUAGGUUAAUUUUAUUAAGGAGAGGAGUCAACAUGAGAAACAGAAAACCCAUAAGGUCCAUUACCUGGCUGGAACCAGGAGAGAGCAAGUCUGUCCUGGAUCCCAGACCAAAUCCCACAUGCUCACGUAGGCACCUGUGACCAAACGGGCUUAUAGUCAGGCUUUCCAACACCUCAACUCUGCAACACUGCCGGUGCUCUUUUCUGUAGAAAGAAAUCUGCAUAUAUGAACCAAAAACAUUGUGAAGAUUCAAGGACCUUUGUGACAGUUUCAUCUUGACUAGUUAAAACUGGAAUAUAGAAAAGGAUGGAGCAAAGAUGACUGCAUUCACCUUUAUGGAAGGAACGUGGGGUGAAGAGGCAGAAAUGGAAACCAACCAGUUGGGGAGACUGUAGUGAGUGGAUCAACCAUUGAGAAGGACUCUAUCCAGGUGACCACUCCUGUGAGGGUGUGCUGGGCUCCAGUGCAGCCUCGGAGAAGAAUGCAGCUGUGCACACUAACCAGCACCAACCCCUGCAUGACCUGCAAGCCUCCCAACAACACUAUGAACUCAGGAAACUAAAACAAGCUAGGCACCGAAAGGCCGCCCACUCCACAAGUGCUGAAUUUGUGCAAGUGAACAUCCUGUCCAGUCUCAUGGGACCAAUCAACCACGGACAGAGCCUCGGAAUCUACAAGCCCAAGCCAGCAAGUCUUUCUUCAUGUGGUUUACGUCAAGUCUUUGCCACAUCAGCACAAAGACUAAAGCAAUAGGUUCAGUCUACACCCUGGGGUAGUGGAUUGCACAUGGGUGUGACAGGGUGGGGUCAAUGAGAGCCAUGACUAGGGUUGCUUGGAUAUGGCUCUCCUUGUAUUUACGCUGCUUGGUGUUUGUUGAUUCAGCAAUUAAUGCUUUUCACAAAAUUUGGGAACAUUUGUUGCUAUAAAUUCCUCAUGUAUUUUUUUCUACUCCAUUUCUCCUCUUAACUUUUAUGCUUCUAGUUUCCUGUUUGCCUAUCCUUUUCAUAUUAUCCCUUAGCACCUAAGCCCUUAUUAACUUCUAAAAUAUAUUUCUACUUGUUCUUUGAGGAGUUCAUACAUGCAUACAAUGUAUUCUAUCAUAUUCACCCCUUUCCAGAACUCUACCUCCUGGGUCCACCUCCGCAUGCCCCUCUUCCAACUUUAUUCCUGUAAUUUUGGUUUGUUUCAGUAACCUAUUGAGUCCACUAGCACUGCCCAUGUAUGCAUUGGUGUGGGGCCAUCCCUGAGUGUGGUAAAUCUACCAGGACCACACCCUAAAGAAAACUAAGCCUUCCUUCCCUAGCAGCCAUUAGCGCCUGUCACUAGCUUCUCACCUAGAGGUGGGGGCUCCUGUGCCCCCUCCCAGUCAAUGCUUGUGUGUUGACUGGCACGAUCUUGUACAGGGCCUGUGUGGCCACCUCAGCUGCCCUAAACUAUGAGUGUGAUUUUACUCCGUUCCUCACUCACCUAUGGGUUUUAGAAUAGAUUAAUAUUUUUUAAACUUCUUAACUUUUACAUAUUUAUUUAUAUUCUCAUUAUGUGUCUGUGGGUGAGUGCGCAUGAGCUGCAGGCACCUGAGAAAGUGAGGAGAAGGCAUCACACUCCUUGGAGGUGAGCUGCUAACAUGUUCUUAACUGCUGAGCCAUCUCUCCAGCUCCCAUUUGUUAUAGACUGAAUAGUUUCUACUAUUCUAACUUGAAGUUCACUGACUUUUUAAACCUUUGUUCUGCAGUAAAACCUGUCUACUGAA